AACGCACGAGACCUGCGGACCUGUGGAAGGAUCAUUAGUGAACGCCCUCACGGGCUUAUAACUAUUCCAAACCUCUGUGAACCGUGCCCUUCGGGGCUAUUUUACAAACAUGGUGUAAUGAACGUCAUAUAUCAUAACAAAACAAAACUUUUAACAACGGAUCUCU
This 166-nucleotide unclassified non-coding RNA is filed under the name soil metagenome. RNAcentral describes it as "partial contains 5.8S ribosomal RNA, internal transcribed spacer 2, and large subunit ribosomal RNA". The record is from RNAcentral.